This 497-nucleotide ribosomal RNA is filed under the name uncultured bacterium. RNAcentral's name for it is "partial 16S ribosomal RNA". It matches the Rfam family "Bacterial small subunit ribosomal RNA", at positions 28 to 507 of the family's 1533-position model. The record is from RNAcentral.
GACGAACGCUGGCGGCGUGCCUAAUACAUGCAAGUCGAGCGAACGGACGCGAAGCUUGCUUCUCUGAUGUUAGCGGCGGACGGGUGUGUAACACGUGGAUAACCUACCUAUCAGACUGGGAUAACUUCGGGACACCGGCGCUAAUACCGGAUAAUAUUCUGAUCCGCAUGGUUCAAAAGUGAAAGACGGUCUUGCUGUCACUUCUCGAUGGAUCCGCGCUGCAUUAGCUAGUUGGUAAGGUAACGGCUUACCAAGGCAACGAUGCAUAGCCGACCUGAGAGGGUGAUCGGCCACACUGGAACGGAGACACGGUCCAGACUCCUACGGGAGGCAGCAGUAGGGAAUCUGCCGCAAUGGGCGAAAGCCUGACGGAGCAGCGCCGCGUGAGUGAUGAAGGUCUUCGGAUCGUAAAACUCUGUUAUUAGGGAAGAACAUAUGUGUAAGUAACUGUGCACAUCUUGACGGUACCUAGUCAGAAAGCCACGGCUAACUACGUG